GAGGAUAUCCGUUCAGGGAACCUGUUGGCGGGCUGUAUGUUGUGUCUUGCUCUCGCUCCUUGGCCCUCCCUGGGGAACGAAGGGGGGCGAUUGUGGGUUUUUUUAGUCAUGUUUUUAAUGUGUUGUAGUUAACCCGGCAGAGUCCCUCGUCCACACAGCUGGAGAUAAGGACAGGGGAGGAGUGAAAAGGUUCGCGUAGUGGAGGACGGGAGGGUGCAUGGAGGGAGGGAGGAAGAUGGGGAGAUGGGAGAAGGUGGUGGGGAGAGUGGGCCGGAACUUCUAGAUCCUUCUAUCUCUGGAAGCACGCACGCAGAUUAUACCUUCUCACGCAAGAACCAGUUAUCGUAGAGUUAUGUGGCAUGGAAACAGGCCUCUUCAACCCAUCACGCCUGUGCUGACGCAGAAGACAUCCCUGGGACACAAAGAUGGCCAGGAGAGGAGAGAGAUGUCAGUUCGUGGUAACUGUUCCAGUACAUCGAGCGAGCGAGCGGGCCGACCAGUCUUUGGACUGGAUAAUGGCACCAAUAAUGGUGGCACCCAUUAUGUGUCAAUAUAUGCAAAAAAUAUUUCACUGUGAAGUUGCAUAUGUCACAAAUAAAGCACCAAUGAACCAUU
Amblyraja radiata (thorny skate) is the source of this 615-nucleotide long non-coding RNA. RefSeq lists it as uncharacterized. Lineage: Eukaryota; Metazoa; Chordata; Chondrichthyes; Rajiformes; Rajidae. The transcript has 2 exons. The record is from RefSeq and is a predicted model, not a curated record.